Rattus norvegicus (Norway rat) is the source of this 9711-nucleotide non-coding RNA. Lineage: Eukaryota; Metazoa; Chordata; Mammalia; Rodentia; Muridae. The record is from RefSeq and is a predicted model, not a curated record.
AUGCAGUUUAGUGUGUCCCACUUUGCAUGGAGUGGGCUUUGAGGUUUCAAAAGACUCUGCCUAAAAUUUUGUGAAACAAUAUAUGAGUUUUCAGCUGCUUCUUGUCUCCAUUAUCAUGGACUCUAUGCUUCUGAAACUGUGCAUGAGGAGGCCAGAAAAGGGUUCCCCUGUACUGGAAUUAUAGGCAGUUGUAAGCCACUUGACAAGGAUGUCUGAAACUGAACUGCCACGCCAUCUCUCCAGCCCAAAUUGUAAAGUUGUUUUGGUUUGUUUGCUUGGUAAGAUUUACUUAUAUUUUAUAUGUAUGAGUCCUCGUCCCUGCACAAAUGUAUAUGCACUGUCUUAUUUAUCUAAUGCUGUGCUAAGAGACACCAAGGCAAUCAGUAAGUAUUUAAUUUAGUUUAUGAUUUUAGAUAGUUAGAAUUCAUGAUGGUAGAACAAAGGCAUGAUAUCAGGAAUGUCUGAGAGCUUACAUCAUGAUCUGUAAGUAGAAGGCAGAAAGAGCUAAGUAGGAAUGACAUAUCUUGAAACUUCAAUGCCCAGCCUCAGUGACACACCUCCAACAUUAUGACUGCUAAUCCUUCCCAAACAGUUCCACCACCUGGGAACCUGUGGGGGCCGUUGUCAUUCAAACCAUGCACCACGAACAUGCACCAUAUAUGUGCAACGCCCAAAGAGACCAGAAUAAACAUAUCAAAUCCUCUGGAAUUGGAGUUACAAUCUAGUAUUAGCUCAAGUGGGUACUGGGACUCAAACCUGGGUCCUUUGAAAAUGCUCUUAACAGCUGAGCUGUCUCUCCAACUCCAAUUGUAAAUUUUUAAAAUAUUUUUUGUUUUGGUUUUUGAAGACACAGUUUCUCUAUGUAACCCUGGCUGUCCUGGAGCUCUCUCUGUAGACCAAGCUGGCCUCAAACACACCUGACUUUGUCUCCCAAAUGCUGGGAAUUAAGAGCAGCGUGGGCCACCACUCCCUAGAAUCCAAUUGUAAAAAUUUUAAAGUGCAAGCAAAUGCUAUAUUUUGUGCAGAAUUCAGAAAUUUAGAAAACUAUAUUUAAAAAUAUAAACUAUAUUUUAAAAAUAUUUUUAAAAACAUGUACUUAUUGACUCGGUCAAAAAUAAAUUAGGAAAAAAAUAAGAAACUAAUGUAUUUGAUCACACAAGAUAGGUGAGAAUAGGAUCAAAACCUAAAAUGACAGAAUUGAUGUGAAUCAAAGGAUGAAGUGCCAUAUUUCUCUAAGAACACAUUUCUGCAUACACAUGUAUUUAACAGAAAUAAAUGGGUGGCCUGGGAUAGCAUUCUGAUAUGUUCUCAGCAUAUGCAGUGCUAAGGAGGCAGGAGGUGGGAGAGCUGUAAAAUGGCACAUGAAAGCAAAUGACAGCUGAGUGUGGUGGCUCACAACCAUAAUCUCAGUACUUGGGAGAUAAGGAAGAGAACUGGUGAAUAUUUGAGGCUACUCUUGGCUAUAAAACUCCAAGUCUGCUUUGAUACAAACUGAGACCUCAUUUCAAAACAAACUGAAAGUUUGUUUCAAACAAAUAACACCAUCACCCAAAAGAAGAAAAAAAUAACUCUUACAUAGUAUGAGACUAUAUAAACUCAGCUAAAGACAAUAUUUUUUAAAUUUUCUUUUACUUUUUUUUUUUUUUUUUUUUUGAGAAAUUGGCACAUUAUAUAGCCUAGGCAGGUCUUGAACUCUGAUCUGCUUGCCUCAGACUCUCACCCCCAGCACUCAAAUUAGAGGCACACACAGCCCAAAUUGAAUCUAUACAAUUAGUGAACCCUAGUUAGGGGGCUUUUCCUAUAGUUGGUAUAUAUACCAGAGUUGAAUAAUGGGACAUAGAUUCUCCACAGUUACAGCAGGAAAUUAUAAAUAGAAAAGAACAUGAUUAGAAUGAACUCUAUACUGUGGUUAGCGAGAAUUAAAGGGCAGUAUCAGAAUGAGGUCACAGUUUAUACCAUAUAGAGAAGCUGUAUAGUGUACACAUGAAAAGGGGUUUUUAUCCUAAUAAUGCCAGCUGUCAAGUACAGCAAUAAUGUAAGUAUUAAAUACUAAGACUCCAGGUUCUAGAUACCAUUCAUCACUGAAUGGAAUCAGUAGACAUGGUAUAUACAUGGUAUAUUGUAGGCAAAGCAGCCUACGAUAAGUUUUUUGUUGAGCUAAUAUAUAGAAAUGCUCAAACAAAAAUACAUUAUGUUGGCUUUUUGUCUCAUGGUGAUAGGGAUUGAACCCAAGGGCUGCACACACUUCAUAACCAACCACUGAGCUAUAUGCCCUAUCCUUUUUACAUUUUGAGAAAGGUUUUCCCUAGGUUGUCCAAGCUAGUUUUGUAACUUCCAAUCCUUCUGCCUCAGUUCUUUAACUGAGUUUGCUCACAGUCUGGGAAAUGGAUCAAGUUAUCUCAUUAAACUAGCAGUUCAAAACAUCACAAUUACUCUCAAUAGCCAAGAAACUGUGUUACACAAGAAAAACAAACAGAAAACCAAUUUUAAACCAGGAAACAAUUUGCCUAUGCAAAUAAAAUAUGAUCUGGCUGUCAAUCUUCAAAAGAGAAUUUAACACUUUCCAAGUUUAAAAUACUGUUUAACACAUUUACAAUAAAAUUCAAGGUUUUCACUGUCUUCCAUACUAUGGAAUUUCUGCCAUUUUCAUCCUCAUAGGCACCUCAGAAAAUCUUGUUUCUUCUGCCCAACUGUUCCUCCAUGCAGCUUUCUCCAUUAUAUGAUUCAAGUAGCAGCCUGAAAUGCACUACCUGAAAAAGGAGCACACCUUGACUACCUUACCUGGAGGACUUUAUGUCCCUUCACAGCACUUUACUUCUCAGCAUGACUAUCCAACUUUAUGAUAUGUACUUUAUGUGAGGUCCCCUGUCUGUCUCUCCCACUACAGUAUAAAGUCUACUUGGGUUAGGAUACUGUCUUUAGUUGCUGCAAUAUAUGCAACAUUUAAACAAUAAAAGAAAAACAAGUAAACAAGUAUCACACUGAAAAAGAAGUAUUAUCCUUGAGUCUCCAAUGUGCGUCUGGCAAACACCAACUCAUCCUCCAAAUCCUUACUCCAGGUUACUGUCUCUAAAAUGCUUCCUUUACCCAUCUCCUAGGAAGGGAGGACUUCUGUUUUUUCAUGAGCAACAUCAGAUUGCAUUUCGUAAGCAAAGAGCAGACAAAAGUUCAAAUAGGCUGAGCAAGAGAACUUCAGUGCUCAAGAAUCUUCUCAGUUAAAAAAUAUAGGGGAUGAGCAAACAGUAAAUAUUUAAAGUACUGUCUUAAAAACCAUGCUUGCUGUAUAGCCUCAGACUAGGGAUUGCCUCAAUUUUCAUUAAUUACAUGGAUUAUGGACAUUUAACCCUCCCAAGAACACUGUAAAAUCAGAUAUUAAUACCAAUGUCUGCAUCUUAUUGAUAGAAAACCUGUUGUUUAUGGCAGUUACCUAGUUACCCAGUUAAGUAACAGAGCCAGGGUUUAGAUAACCGACCUAGAACCUGCCUGAGCAUUGGGCACACUGUCUUCUUUGUAUGGCAAAUCAAAAGAGGGACAAUUGUUGCAAACCUACUGUGAAUAUACAUGCUUGUUAGAAAAGUAGGUUAUCAAAAGGCCACUCACUCUGUUAGCCACCAGAAAGAUCUUUUUUCCUUUUCCCAAGUAUGUUUUACCUUCUUUCUUGUCCCAUCCCUAUCCCCAAAUCAUAUUAAUAUAGAAACAGAUAUGUGCCACUUACCUUAACAAGAACCCAAAGACUUAUUCUUUCGGAUCCACAAGGUCUCUAAUCCAGAACUACUCACAAUAAUUAAUUCUUCCCUCUGCUAGAGGAAAAAGCAACAAUGCUGAACAUGACUGCAAGCUUACCUUUUUUUUUUUUAACAGCAGGUCAUUUAAAUAAUGUCCCAUGCACGCUCCAAUCCAGACAUCAUCCUUCAGCAAAUUUUUUUCAUUCUAAUGUUUCCUUAUACCGUUUCUCCUUCAAGAAGCAGUUUCUUUCUGACAUGCUCUACACAAAAUAACAAGAAUUCUUCUAGCUGGGAGAUUUUAAGUUCAGAACAAAGCCCUAGGCCUUGUUUUUCUCCUGCUACUUCUUUUUGUAUCCCUUAAUUUUUGCUGCAAAGACGGGGAAGGGUCUUCUGUAGUUUAGGCUGGCUUUGAAUUCUCUAUCCCUUGCCUCUACCUUCCAAACGCUCAGGUGACUGAUAAGACAUUAUAAUUUUAACUUCUGAGAUGAAGGAUUCAUUCCUUGCUCACUAAAAACUGCAGGAAUCCGAUACAUGAAUGCAAAGUUACAUAGGACCAAGAUUGCUAAAAAUAAAUGACUAUGGAAUGCUUUGAGCAAACAAGAGUCGGCAGAUUCCGGGGCAACACAACUAAUCUCCGCCCUUAAGGCUGAGGGAGGGUCCUCCCAUUGCCCAUGGUUCUCUAGACAUUCAGGAAGGCUACAGACUACAUUCGAGCCUGGUUCCAUUACUACCUCCAGGACAGUCUUACAGGCUCUCCUCUCAACUUUUCGUUGACCGUGACAACAAGGGAGCCGCGCCCGGCCCCGACCCUCUCACCGCCAAGAACCGCGAGGACCGCUGCUCCCUUACUCCGCUGCCCGGGGCGGCACUUCCGGUGACUGGACCCUCAAGCCGGACCUUCCGGGGCCGUGCACUCCGGGAGCCCGUUCGGUCUCACCUCUUCUUAGGGAACGAAAGUGGGGCCGAGAGACGAAGAGGCCGAGAGGUCAGCAAGCCAACCGCAGGAUACCAACCUGGAGAACCCAUCCACCCGCGUUACAAGGCCAACGCAAAUCGCCCUCACCAGCUGGGUCUGGGAGGCGUAGCCACGCCUCAAAGUACGUAACCACCGCAGAGCCUGAACGCGCCUGCGCCCUGGAUCUUUUGGGUCCCCAAACUACCUUUUCACCUCCUGGAAUUUGAGAUUCCAGAGCAGGCCUAUACUGUGGUACUCACAAUUGAAACUGUACCCGACGCCCCGUACUGUGCUCUGGACUUCUGUUUUCUUUCUCCACAGCUCUUCAAAUCAGGAGUCAGGAAUAGCGUCUCAAGGAUAGAUGCUGCGGACCUAGAUUAAAUAUCCUGAAAAGCAGGAGAAGUGAAGAAUUCUCUGCAGAGCUAUCACUCACGCAUGCAGAGGAGAAGGAUGAGAAGCUUUGAAAGGGGAGCAGCAGCGUGGCCUUUUUGCGUGGAGAAAGCAGCGGGGAAACAGUGUUGGAAGGAUUUCUGUGCUUUCUGAUUGCGAUUCUAGGAGGGAGAAUUGAGAUUUGGAAAAAACAAAAAAGAAUAGUCAACAUCCUCCUUCCUUGGAAAAAAAAAAGGAUGUAGGCCGGCGAGAUGGCUCCUGUUGGGAGUGAGGAGUGGAGAGUGCUUAUUGCUCAAACCUGGCCACCUGAAUUUGAUCCCUGGAACCAAUGUCAAAAGUGGAAAGAAAAAACUGACCGCAAAAGUUGUCUUCUGGCAGGCAUAAGCAACAAUAAGUUUCCGGAGGCAAGAAGAGCAAAUUAUUGAAACUGAGCUGUGUGUGUUCCAGCACUUCAUCAAGCAGAGAAGACUGCAAAUGACCCGUGUGUCCAGACGCUACUGUCUUCUUACGUGUAUAAGUUGGAACAGAGGAACAGAGGAACAGAGGGGGACCCAAAAUAGAGAUGUUCCCGCUCGGUUUCGAACCGAGGACCUCUCGCGUGUGAGGCGAGCGUGAUAACCACUACACUACGGAAACACAACGGUCUUUACUUCACAGAGAAGGAAAUUCAUCUAGUCAGAAGUGUCCUGAAACAGAUUUCCACUAACAGAAGGCUUGAGGAUAACACCUGAGGUCAGUUCACAUUUCAAGAGAAUCAAAAUUGUUCCCUCUUGCUAAACUGAAUGCAGGUGAGACUGAGAACUGGAUGAGGAUGGUGUAGAGGACUGUGCAUGGUGCAGGGGAGGCUGGGAAUUUGGUGGACUGUGCAUGGUGCAGGGGAGGCUGGGAAUUUGGUGGACUGUGGAUAGGGCAGGGGAGGCUGGGAAUUUGGUGGACUGUGCAUGGUGCAGGGGAGGCUGGGAAUUUGGUGGACUGUGCAUGGUGCAGGGGAGGCUGGGAAUUUGGUGGACUGUGCAUAGGGCAGGGGAGGCUGGGAAGGGGUGGUCAGGAGCAGAGGGAUGGGAGGAUUGACGUAAUGUCUCUUUCCACAUUUGAUAAAUACGUCUGUCUUGAUGAAGGAGGAACACCAUCUCAGUCAGCCUCUGAGGCCUGCAUGCAGCAUUAAUACAGAGGUUCCUGUAUGGACAGAACAGUGUUCUGAAAUGCAGUAUAGUCCCUGAGAGGAAGGUCACAGGGCAAGCUAUAUUUUAUCACGAUUCAUCCCUGAGCAGUUGGUGACAUCUGGACUUUUCCACUGAAGUUUCACAAUGGCCAAAGUCUCAAGCUUAAAAGUAAGAAAUUACGUUAGGAGUCUUCCUAAUGACUAAGAGGAAUAGGAAAGUAAAUGCCAGGCUGUCACUCAACAUCCAAGGUAUCGCUUUAGAGAUUCAAAGAUGAAUGGGUUUUUGGAGCUUCACCCUGAUUCCAUUCAACAGGUGUUUGCCUGUUGUAGAUAUUAAGACAGUUUGAGGAAUAACUGUACUAGGAUACCUGGUACCAAUGUGCUUGAAAGCAGGAAGCAGAGUAUGAACUCAUAAAUGCUUUGCCCCUGCACCAGUCACACAGGGGCUAUUAGAAAGGUGGAAGUGGGCAAUCCAAACAGUGGCAUUGACCUGGGGAUUUGUACCCAGGAACACAUCUCCUCUUCCAACUUUGGAGACAGCAGCUGAUGCAGAAGCCACAGGGGAGUGCUGCUUACUAACUUGUUCCCCAUGGCUUGCUCAGCCUCUUUCUAGUAAAACUCAGGACUGCCUGCCCAGGGAUAGCACCACUCACCAUGGACCAGGUCCUCUUCCAUCACUUAGAAGAUGCCCUUCAGGCUUGUCUACAAACCCAUCUCAUGGAAGCAGUUUCUUGAGAGUCCAUCCUCUCAGAUGACUUCAACCUGUGUUGACAUAAGACUAUCCAGUGUAUUCACCAAUGAUACAAUGUAGAAUUCUAACACACUAGGAAAACAAAAGCAAGUGUCUCAGAAUUUUCAGAUUUCUGGCUUGUUACUUUUUGACAAUGUAUGCCAGAUAAUAUAGUAUUUACAUUGUGACAUUUAGAACAUAUUCUGAACAUUCUUUACACUGUAUAAUCCAAAUCACUAAGAUACUGUUUAAUUAAUAAAAUACACUAAGUAUUUGUAAUGGUUUGUAUAUGUUCUGCCCAGGGAGUUGCAAGAUUAGAUGUGGCCCUGUUGGAGUAGGUGUGUCACUGUGGGUGUGGGUUAAAAGACUUUCAUCUAGCUGCCUGGAAGUCAGUGUUCUCCUAACAGCCUUCAGAUGAAGAUGUAGAACUCUCAGCGACUCCUGCACCCAUGCCUGCCUGGACUCUGCCAUGUUCCUGCCUUGAUGAAUCUCUGAAUCUAUAAGCCAGCUCCAGUUAAAUGUCCUUAUAAGAGUUGCCUUGGUCAUAGUGUCUGUUCACAGCAGUAAAACCCUAACAAAGAUAGAAUUGUAGUGCAAAGAACUACAUCGUACAAGAACAGUCAAUGAAAAACACAAUUUAAGAUUCAAGUCUUCCAUUUUUUAAAACAAACUUGAACUCUACUAUCCUACAAGGCCACAAAACAGCCAGAAGAGAGAAAAGCUGCUGGGAGGUUCAAAUUCCAGUCUCCCUUUCAGGCCUGUGUGUGCUUGGUUGAAGGGGCUCUAGCCGACCAGAGCAUGGGAAACAUGUUUUGCCCUUUUGCCCUUGUUCUCUCCCUGUUACAUUCCUCAAGCUAGCCCCCAAGGUAUAGUCCCUUAUUUGACCACUGACUCAUCCCUGAGACAAAAGCACUUAGGCUACCAAAUUAAAAUUCCUUAUUCGGCUAAUCUAUCUAACCAGGAUUUACCAACUCACUCUAGCACAGACUCACAUCCAUAUCGCCCCCUAGCGGCAGGAGGGUCUCAUUUCUCAGGUCUACUUGAGCUACUGCAUAGUGUUUAGUCCUGACUGACCAGAUGCAUCCACUUCCCCACAAAAGCCCCUCUCCCUCCGUUGGUUAUGAGCGGUGGUAGCUUGUUUCUACCCGCACUGCAACAGUUGUUUAUCAAAGAAAAUUGAGCAGGAUGAGCUGCUGUUUUUGUGUUCAUUCUUGGAGGAGAGGUUUAAAACAAAGCCAAGAGUCCUCACAUGGACACUCUCCUUGCAGUGCGUUGCUGCCUAUGGUGGACAAGUGCCAGUUUAUUUUUUCCUUCAGAAACCUUUUGCACCUCCCCCCCAGACCUUCCCAGUGUGAUUUAAUGUAAUGCAAGUCAUAACCAAGCUUUCUGAUGAACUUCUCAGAAAGCAGCUUUCUGAAGAUACUCUUGACAUGGGUGGGUCACAAUGAUUGUCAGUGAUCUUAAUGUCGAUGACAUCUACUGGCCUCCAUAAUGUUUGUCUACCCUCCAGCUUCUCAGCUUAGCUGAUGUAGACGGCCUUUUGUUUUUAGUUCUUUUACAUGUAUUUACUAGAGGGUAGGAGAGGAGAGAGUGCUCUGGCUUCAUUGUGGGAAUCAGGGCAAACGCAGGAGAUGGUUCUCUCCUUCUACCAUGAGUUCUACCAGAGAACAAACUCAGCUCAUCAGGUUUGGUGACAAGUGCUUUUACAUGCUGAGUCCUUUCACUGACAAGUUCAAAUCCCUGACCUCAAGGGGAGGAGCCUGGAAACAGCUUAUUGGAAAAUUCUACGGGUCUGAUUUCCAAACAGAAAGCCAGGAGUCUGACUCUGAUAGGAACAAUCUGCCAGUUAUCUCAGCACUUUGAGGGGGAGGUACAAUUGAGAAUUCAUCCUGUUCACAAAGGCAGGCCUAUCUUUAAGUAAGGAAGUGAACAACAGAAAACACCUUAAUCCAAUUGAAUUCAUUUCCAUUUGGCCCGGUGCACCCCACUGACCCUUAGUACACAGGCAGCCAUCACUAACUCAAACUUUUCCUUAGAUAGAUCAGAUUGGGACAUAAGGUUCCAAUACUGUUAUGAGAGAGCUAGCCUAGGAAUCUUUCAGUAGCAAAUGGCUUAAACAAAGUGGUUUUAUUAUCACACUCACAAACAUGGAGACAGAAAUGACAGUGGUUACUGCAGUGUCUCCUGAUGUCAUUGGGACCUGUGCUCCUCCUGAUGACAUGGGCUCCUAACACUCACCUGGCAGUUCACAACUGUCAGUGUCAGGGGAUGUAAGUCCCACUGUGCACAGACGCAUAUGAGGGUAACCACCAUACAUAGAAGAAAAAGGUUUUCUAAAAAUCAAUUAAAAAACAGAGCAAGGCUAGGCAGUGGUGGUACAUGCCUUUAAUCCCAGCACUCAAGAGGCAGAGGAAGAGGCAGAGGCAGGCAGAUCUCUGUGAGCUCAAGUACAGCCUAGACUACAAAGCAAGGUCCAGAACAGCCAGGAUGGUUGGUCACACAGAGAAAGGUAGUCAGGAGAAACCUAUAUAAAUUAAAAAUGAGAGCACUCUUCCUUAUAUUUAGCCCACAUCAACCUGUAACUAAUUUCCAGGGGUAGCCAUCACAUAAACUAAUCCAUGGCCCAUAUUGCCAACUGAGACUCAGCACAUAUGGGCACAAUGACCUUAAUUGCACACGCCACACUGCUAGCCAGGAGUCAGCUAGCUUUGGCUGUAACUCCACAGCACAGGUCCUACAACUAGUAAUG